Non-coding RNA from Paramuricea clavata, 817 nucleotides. The record is from the annotation of a GenBank genome assembly. Lineage: Eukaryota; Metazoa; Cnidaria; Anthozoa; Malacalcyonacea; Plexauridae.
GUGGAUUUAAUUUAUUACGAAGAAAGCGAGUCCUCAUGCGGAAAUUAUUACGAAAUUCUAGAUUAUAUAUAUGCCCUGCGACAAUUAAAUAGAGCCGGUGUCCCAGGAUUUUCGCCCCCCCUACAUUUUCGCCCCCCGGGGGGCGAAUUUCCUAGGAAUAUCGCCCCCCCAGGGGGGCGAAAAUCCUAGGAAUUUCGCCCCCCUUUAGGAAAUUCGCCCCCCUUUAGAAACUUCACCUUUUCUUUAGGAUUUUCAAAUUUACAAUUACAUGUAUCGAAGGGCUUACACAGUUUAAUACAGUAGAUCAAUAGGACUUAUGACGCUUCACAGCACACCAUGCAUAUUUUGCAUUUUCAGUGUUAAUCCUUAAACUCAUUGUUAAAAAGUAAUCACCGUGGUGGUUAUUGUAAUUAUUGGUAUUGUUUUGCAUCCACGUUUUGUCGUUAUCGGAAAAUGUAUGGUUUGUCACUAUUUUUUACUUGCAUUAUUUCAAUAUAGUUUGUAAAUCUCAGAAGCGAAGGGUAGAACUUGCCAAUAGGCAAUAAUCCAAUAAUAUACGUUUCAAAAAAGACAAGAAAGCUUUUAGUUUAGCAGAGUUAAUUCUCAAAUGUUUAAGGCAUGCACCAAUAAAAUCAAAGUAUCAUGAAAUUAUUUGAAUAAACCACACCACAUAUAUAAUGCAAUUUUCUUUGCGAAAGUGAAGAAUCAAGAUUACAUCACUGACACGGAAAGUUGACGAUUCAACGGACAAUAAUCAAUACGCUUCCCAACACAUUCCAUAGAUUUUUAACUAAUCCUAUAGUUUAUUGUUAGCAAG